RNAcentral lists this long non-coding RNA (1726 nucleotides) under Prunus persica (peach). Its description in RNAcentral is "long non-coding RNA (PPER_LNC001704)". The record is from RNAcentral. Lineage: Eukaryota; Viridiplantae; Streptophyta; Magnoliopsida; Rosales; Rosaceae.
UCUUAUUCUUUCUUUCUUCUCUCUUAUUCUUUCUCCUCUCAUUUUGUCUCCAUUUUUUUUCCCUCUCUUUCUCUGAUUUUUUUUUUCUUGGUUUUAUGUUUCACUCUCUCCCUCUGUAUCUCUUUCUUUGCAACUCUGUAUUUUUGUUUCUCUUUUUUUUUUCUCUCUUCAUUUUUUGUUUCUCUGUACAUAUAUGUGUUCAUCUUGUAGAUUUGGGUGAAGUUCUUGGACAUCUGGGUUAAGUUCUUGUAGAUCUGGGUAAAGAGCCAGUCUAAAGCAAGUCAGCGUCUCUUAUCUCUCCAAUCCCUUGUGCCGAUAUGUAUUUUUUUUGUUUCAACAAUCCAUUUUGGUGCUUUAACUUCACUUUUGGUUUCAUUUGUUUCUUCUGAUAUGGUAUUGAUAUUUUCUAUGAUUUUGGGUUGAUGAUGUUAUUGAGGUUUGAUUCUUUUCUUUUUUUUUUCUUUCGAUUUUUUCCUGUUGUGUUUUGACAGACAUGUUCUCUAUUCCUGAUAUCAUUCCUCAGUGGCAAAAUCUUUGAACGUUAUUGUAAAUUUUAGACGGGAGAGAAGCUCAUUCAUAAUUCAAAAAAAGAAAAUAAAGUUACAACAAUUGACAAUUUAUUGCUCUUUGAAAUAGGUACUGCAGUAGCAUGGAUAAAAAGAAAGACUGAAGAUGUUGCAGAAAAUUGAAUAUGUUCUAUUUCUGUAAUUUGUUUGUAAUUAAAUUUGCUUUAUUUUUUCUUGUGUUUAGGUUGUAAGUUUUAUUUUAAUGCUUGAUAUUUGUUGUUUUGUCAAAAAAUUGUAUUAACGCUUGAUGGAUUCAUUCAAUUUGCGGUGCGUGGAUGUGAAUUGGGCCAAUCGGUAAUAAUUAGGCCCAAAAGGUUUUAAAUAUCAAUUGGGCUGAAGCUUAAAAAAAAUUUAAGAACAAAAAAAAAUUCAAUUAAGCUGAAGAGUCGGCCCAAACCGUAAAAAUAGGUACCGAACCGGAUCAAAAUCGAUCUGGGUUGCUGGUUUUCUCAAGCAUUUUAGUAAAAAUUCAAAUCGGACCAAAUCGGUUUUGGGUUGAUGCAAAAACCGGUCCAAAUCGGACCGCGCCCACCCGUAGUCAACACUAUACCUCAAAUAAAUUAAAAAGAUUGCUGCUAAACGAACUCUAAAAUUAAUUGAGUACAUCCUAAUAUUUUAAUUAAAAAGUUAAAUACUUUUUUGAUCACUUGUUUUACAUGAAAAUUCAAUUUGGUCACUGGGUACAAAAUUUAGCCAAAUUUGUCAUCGUGUUUUCCAAAGUUUACAAUUUAUAGACAUUUUGUUAUCUUUAAUUCAGUGUAGUUUUUUUUUGUUUUUUUAAUUUUAAGGAAGCACCUUCAAUCUUCUUCCUCUAAAUCAACAAGUUAGGUAUAUUAUGUUAUUAGGGUUUAGUGUGACGGUGGAGGAGACGAUGUUAUGAAUGAGGUGUUGCUAUGUUCGGUGGAGGAGAUGACGACGGUGAUUCACAAUUCAAUAUAUCUUGUUUUGUAAUUUUAUAUUAGAGUAAAUUAGUAAUUCAAUAAAUGGUUUGGUAGUAAGGUAUACUCGUUUAAUUUUAGGGUUCGUUUAGCAGCACUCAUUAAAAAAAAUGCAAAGGAACUUAUAAAUCAAGCAUCCAUGCAUCCGAGGUCCUUUAUUGGAAUUUCACUCCCACAAUAUCGCUUGUAUAAAAAUAAAAAGUAAAAAAUAAGUCCCCUCCC